Molecule: ribosomal RNA, 407 nt
Filed under: uncultured bacterium
Lineage: Bacteria
Description: partial 16S ribosomal RNA
Rfam family: Bacterial small subunit ribosomal RNA
Source: RNAcentral
AUUGAACGCUGGCGGCAGGCCUAACACAUGCAAGUCGAUCGGAGCGGAGGUCGGGUAAGUAAUGCUUAGGAAUCUGCCUGUUCCUGGGGGAUAACGUUCACUACCGGGCGCUAAUACCGCAUACUAUCAGAUUAGCCUAGGUCGGGUUUGCUAGUUGGUGGGGUAAUGGUCUCCCAAGGCGACGAUCCUUAACUGGUCUGAGAGGAUGAUCAUUCACACUGGAACUGAGACACGGUCCAGACUCCUACGGGAGGCAGCAGUGGGGAAUAUUGGACAAUGGGCGAAAGCCUGAUCCAGCCAUGCCGCGUGUGUGAAGAAGGUCUUCGGAUUGUAAAGCACUUUAAGUUGGGAGGCGGUACCAGCAGAAUAAGCACCGGCUAACUUCGUGCCAGCAGCCGCGGUAAUUC